Molecule: transfer RNA, 90 nt
Filed under: Photobacterium kishitanii
Lineage: Bacteria; Pseudomonadati; Pseudomonadota; Gammaproteobacteria; Vibrionales; Vibrionaceae
Description: tRNA-Asn
Source: RNAcentral
UCCCCCUUAGUUCAUUGGUGCUUCUUUAUUGGGGAGAUUAGCGGCCUGUUAAUUCACAUGUCACUGGUUCAAGUCCAGUAGAGGGAGCCA